UUCGUAGGGUGCAAGCGUUGUCCGGAAUUAUUGGGCGUAAAGAGCUCGUAGGCGGUCUGUCGCGUCUGCUGUGAAAACUCAGGGCUUAACCCUGAGCUUGCAGUGGGUACGGGCAGACUAGAGUGCGGUAGGGGAGACUGGAAUUCCUGGUGUAGCGGUGAAAUGCGCAGAUAUCAGGAGGAACACCGGUGGCGAAGGCGGGUCUCUGGGCCGUAACUGACGCUGAGGAGCGAAAGCAUGGGGAGCGAACAGG
Molecule: ribosomal RNA, 253 nt
Filed under: uncultured bacterium
Lineage: Bacteria
Description: partial 16S ribosomal RNA
Rfam family: Bacterial small subunit ribosomal RNA
Source: RNAcentral